This 468-nucleotide ribosomal RNA is filed under the name uncultured bacterium. RNAcentral describes it as "partial 16S ribosomal RNA". It matches the Rfam family "Bacterial small subunit ribosomal RNA", at positions 28 to 507 of the family's 1533-position model. The record is from RNAcentral.
GACGAACGCUGGCGGCGUGCUUAACACAUGCAAGUCGAACGGAAAGGCCCUGCUUUUGUGGGGUGCUCGAGUGGCGAACGGGUGAGUAACACGUGAGUAACCUGCCCUUGACUUUGGGAUAACUUCAGGAAACUGGGGCUAAUACCGGAUAGGAGCUCCUGCUGCAUGGUGGGGGUUGGAAAGUUUCGGCGGUUGGGGAUGGACUCGCGGCUUAUCAGCUUGUUGGUGGGGUAGUGGCUUACCAAGGCUUUGACGGAUAGCCGACCUGAGCGGGUGACCGGCCACAUUAGGACUGAGAAACGGCCCAGACUGCUACGGGAGGCAGUAGUGGGGAAUAUUGCACAAUGGGCGGAAGCCAGAUGCAACAACGCCGCGUGCGGGAUGCGGGCCUUCGGGUUGUAAACCGAUUUGGCCUGUGACGAAGCGUGAGUGACGGUAAUGAAUAAAAAAGCACCGGCUAACUACGUG